RNAcentral lists this ribosomal RNA (400 nucleotides) under uncultured bacterium. Its description in RNAcentral is "partial 16S ribosomal RNA". It matches the Rfam family "Bacterial small subunit ribosomal RNA", at positions 355 to 747 of the family's 1533-position model. The record is from RNAcentral.
UGGGGAAUCUUGCUCAAUGGGCGAAAGCCUGAAGCAGCGACGCCGCGUGGAGGAUGAAGGCCUUCGGGUUGUAAACUUCUGUUAAGUGAGAAAAAAGGUGCUUUGUUAAUAGUAAAGCAAGAUGAUUGUAUCACUAGAGAAAGCACUGGCUAAUCUCGUGCCAGCAGCCGCGGUAAUACGAGAGGUGCAAGCGUUAUUCGGAAUCAUUGGGCGUAAAGGGUGCGUAGACGGUAAUAUAAGUUUGUUGUUAAAAUUCCUGGCCUAACUGGGAGUCUGCAAUAAAUACUGUUUUGCUAGAGAAUGAGAGAGAGAAGUGGAAUUCUUGGAGUAGCGGUCAAAUGCGUAGAUCUCAAGAGGAACACCGAUGGCGAAGGCAGCUUCUUGGCUCAUUUCUGACGUU